CAUGCACCAGUGGGGUCCCUCAGCUUGGCCUGCACCCUCUCGCAAUCCAGGACCCCUCAGGGGAUGUCAGCUGGUUUUGUCCUGAUCCCACAGGCCAGGCUGAGGGACCCCACUGGUGCACA
This 122-nucleotide microRNA precursor is filed under the name Myotis lucifugus (little brown bat). RNAcentral describes it as "mir-9193 microRNA precursor family". It matches the Rfam family "mir-9193 microRNA precursor family". The record is from Rfam by way of RNAcentral. Lineage: Eukaryota; Metazoa; Chordata; Mammalia; Chiroptera; Vespertilionidae.